This 404-nucleotide ribosomal RNA is filed under the name uncultured bacterium. RNAcentral describes it as "bacterial SSU rRNA". It matches the Rfam family "Bacterial small subunit ribosomal RNA", at positions 28 to 417 of the family's 1533-position model. The record is from RNAcentral.
GACGAACGCUGGCGGCGUGCUUAACACAUGCAAGUGGAGCGACGAACCAGGGCUUGCCCUGGGGCAGAGCCGCGAACGGGUGAGUAACACGUGGGUAACGUGCCCCGAUGAUCGGGACGAACCCGGGGAAACCCGGGCGUAAUACCGAAUGUGCUCCCCUCACACCAGUGAGGGAGUGGAAAGGAAGCUUCGGCCUCCGCAUCGGGAGUCGGCCCGCCGGCCCACUUAGUCUUGUUGGUGAGGUAACGGCUCACCAAGGCUGCGAUGGGUAGCUGGUCUGAGAGGACGGAUCAGCCACACUGGGACUGAGACACGGCCCAGACUCCUACGGGAGGCAGCAGUGGGGAAUCUUGCGCAAUGCGCGAAAGCGUGACGCAGCAACGCCGCGUGGGGGAAGACGGCCU